Long non-coding RNA from Pipra filicauda (Wire-tailed manakin), 1120 nucleotides. RefSeq lists it as uncharacterized. The transcript is spliced from 2 exons. The record is from RefSeq and is a predicted model, not a curated record. NCBI's taxonomy places the organism in Eukaryota, Metazoa, Chordata, Aves, Passeriformes, Pipridae.
CCACCACCGCUCUCCCGUGCCCGGGCAGCGCCGGCCGCUCACCCGCCCGCCCUCACCUGGGCCGCCGCGGGCGCCCCCGAGCAGCAGCGCGGCAGGGAAGACGAGCAGGACGAGCAGGAGCAGCUGCGACAGGCGCCUCAUGAUGGCGGCGGCAACGGCCCGGCACCCAACGCAGCCAGCCCCGGCGGCGGUGGGUGGCGGCCGCUGCGGGAUUGUCUAAAUGGCGGCGAGUGCGGGAGCGGGCGCUGGGACCUCCUCCCGCUCCUCCAUCCGGGGCCGCGCCCGCCCCGCUCCGCCCCCGCGGACGUGGCUCGGCCGGGCAGGAGGCGCGGCGGUCACGUGGGCGCUUAGCACACGUCUGCCCUCAGCCGGCGGCGGCGCGGGCGCCUCCCGAUCCACCCGCGCCGCCCCUCCCACAGGGAAGUGGGCACGGCACCGAGCCUGUAGCAGUUCGGGGAGCCUUUGGACAACGCUCUCAUCCACCUGGUCCUGAUAACAAGAAAGGAAAUUUAACCCGUGAAUCACAUAGCAGCUAACAAUCAAGCUCUGAGUGAUUUCCAUUUGUUAGGAAGACUUACCUGUAGAAUUGCCUUGUUAAGGUGUAGGGCUUGACAUGCUUCGAUGAUCUCAGACCUAGGGGGAGGUUAACAAAGCUUGGGAAGAAGGAUGCACCACUGACAGCGGAUACAAAGAAUGCAGAAUUUACGUGGCACAGGAAUAUUUGGCAAAACUCCCAAGAUAAGGAAGAAACUAAUGAAGACAACUCAGCAGCUGUGCUGAAAUCAGCUCCAACUGGGUAAAAGGUAAUUCCAGCAUGGGGGAGAUCAUGAUGACUGGCUCACGGACCACCGACCCAAGAACCUCACUGACUCAAAAGUAGAGAAAGACCGAGCGUGCGGAUUGAUUAGCAUGAGAAGCGAGGGAGUCAUUAACCAACAGAAGAUAGAAUGCUAAUAAAUAAAGAAACUAUGUAACUUGUAGCCAAUGAACAUUAAUGCCUGUGUUUGCUAAAAUGUAUAAAUAGUGGAAAGUUUUGAUUGUUGGUGUGCUUGACUAGUGGAAUACCACUGAGCACCCAGGCUCGAACAACUCUGAAAUAAAUAAUAAAUGUUUCUCUCAA